RNAcentral lists this unclassified non-coding RNA (224 nucleotides) under Hevea brasiliensis (rubber tree). Lineage: Eukaryota; Viridiplantae; Streptophyta; Magnoliopsida; Malpighiales; Euphorbiaceae. The record is from RNAcentral.
GGAAGACUCAAUGCCGCCAGCAUGGAGAACGCAUUCCAGUGCCUUCACCGGCAUUGAUGCAUUGCCACCUCGAGCUGCAACAUAGUUGGGACAUCGCUUGAAACACCACACCAUAUGCGCAAUCUCAUUCUGCAUCACCACAACCAUCUAUAAAGGAACCAUCGACUUCCAUGGUAGUGUAGUGAAGCACAGGCUGCCUGAAGCCAUCAACUACAUCACAGCAG